Molecule: ribosomal RNA, 520 nt
Filed under: Biecheleriopsis adriatica
Lineage: Eukaryota; Dinophyceae; Lophodiniales; Lophodiniaceae
Description: partial large subunit ribosomal RNA
Rfam family: Eukaryotic large subunit ribosomal RNA
Source: RNAcentral
CUCGGCUUGGAAACUGGGGCUUCGGCCUUGGAUUGUAGCCUCUAGACAUAGUACCAACGGAGGCGCAGGUGUAAGCCUCUUGGAAAAGAGCAUCAACGUGGGUGAGAAUCCCGUGUUUCAUCUGCAGUCCACCGUGCACGGUACAUGUUCUCAGAGUCGCGUACCUCGGAAUUGGUGCGUAAAGUGGGUGGUAAAUUUCAUCUAAAGCUAAAUAUAGGCUUGAGACCGAUAGCAAACAAGUACCAUGAGGGAAAGAUGAAAAGGACUUUGAAAAGAGAGUUAAAAGUGUUUGAAAUUGCUGAAAGGGAAGCGAAUGGAACCAGUCCUCUGGCUGAGAUUGGUGCAUGCUCCUGUGAUGCCCGGCUGCUUCAGCGCAAGCGUGGUAGUUGGAGUUGAGCGGCUGUGUGUGCUGUUUCUCAGCUUGUGAGUCAACUUCUGUUCAUGCUUGGGGAUAGCCUCUUUGUCAUGACGAUCUCUGCGGAGUUAGUCUUGUCUUUGUAGGGACUCAGGCGUGUACAGC